Capsicum annuum is the source of this 1108-nucleotide long non-coding RNA. RefSeq lists it as uncharacterized. NCBI's taxonomy places the organism in Eukaryota, Viridiplantae, Streptophyta, Magnoliopsida, Solanales, Solanaceae. The transcript has 2 exons. The record is from RefSeq and is a predicted model, not a curated record.
UAAAUGAAAUCGGUUGAGAAAAAUUAGAUUAGUUCAUUUAUUUUGUUUGGGCUAGUCUCUUUAAUUAAUUCAAAGCUUUGAAAGCCAAAUUAAAAAUGAUUCAAAAUCCCUAAAACUAUCUAGCACAUUAUGUAAAUACCCCUGACUCGACCCAAACCAACAAUUGAACCACCCUUACAUCCCCUUUUCUCUUCCCAUUGAAACUCAACCAAACCAGCAUCGAUAAUCUUCUUCUCUCUCUCUACUGCAAACGUCAUUUCUCCCCCGGACCAUCGGAUAACAGUGACUCCGAUGGUCCUCAAACUUUUUCUCCCACAUCCAUCAAUCUCACAAUCUCCAUCAACUUUAUAUCACUUCUAUCACCUUUCUUCCAAGAUCAGAUCCCAAAAUUACUCCACCUCCACUGCUACGUCUGAUAAAGGUGAAGAGCAUGGAAGACCACCGGAUUUGGGAAUCUUAUCCCCUUAAUUUUAUUAGUCUGAAAGUGAAUGCCAUCAAAAAGCCUUUUCCCCAUUCACCUCAAUAUGAAAUUGAAGCUUUCUCUUCUUCCAAUUUGGUCCCUUUGAUUUUCUCUGAGAUUUGGCUUUUCAAGAAUUCAAAUUUGAAUUCUUGGAGCCUCUUUUAGGGGCUACUGCAAUGCCUCUCAAGUGUGGCUAUAAAAGGGACCCUUUGAACUCCCAAUUAAAAAAAGAAUGAACAAGUAAAAAAUCAUAAGAAGAAACUAUCAAUAUUAGUUCAUACUAUUUCCUCCUUAUUCUAUUACUCUCAGUCGAGUUCAAAUUCUGAGUUUGAGUUGAAGUGGUCGUGAGCUCGUUGAAAUUUGAUGUUGGAAACCCUAGUUCGCUGCACAACAUCCGGAGUACGUUUGGAGUCUUAUGGCUUGACUCCAUCUUUGUCUAAAUCAGAGAAGCAAAUAAAUAUCACAUUACACAUUUUCGUCUAGAAGUCUAAUGUCUCUUUCCCUCUCUUCAGAAUUUAUUCUUCUUUUAUAGACACUCAUUAUUAUUUUUGUUUAAUAUUUUGCAUAUUAUUAUUUGAGAUUUUAUAUUUUGUAUGUCUUAUUUGAAUUAUUAUGAAUCUUUAAAUGUGAUAGCAACUUAAUUACCCA